AAAUGCUUCAGUAGCAGGUCAUUGGGGGCCCAAGGGGACAGAGCCAGUGGACCUUUAUCACCUUCUCAGAAGACAUUGGUCUUCUAAGGGCAUUAAAACUCCAUUUCGAGUACCUAACUACCCCCAGAAAUAUUGGGGGUUAGAUUUUGCACCAUAGUGUACAAUUUUCUUUUAUUAUUAUUAUAGAAUAAAUAUUACAUCCUAGGCACUGAAAGCAAACCUCAAAGCUUCUGUCCUAGGGAAAGAGAGAGGGUACAGGUCACAGGGAAAAAUUCAGGACAGGAGUAUAGCAAGUGCUCUGAUUCAUGGGUUCAGAGGGGACUAGGAGCUCCACCCUGUCCUGUGUGGGUGUAUUUCUGAGCUGCUCACCAGCAAGCCUCACUCAUAAGCUUGGGCCAGGAUCAUCUGCCCUUGGGAUGCCAUAGGUUCUGGUUUCAGAAGCGGAACAAUAAUGCUAAUUAAAAUGUCAUAUUCUGGCCUACAACAGACAACAGCUGGUUUUAGAUUAAGAAAUCUUUUUUAAGGAAUUGCAUCGUACUGGCCUGCACCGACGAUGAACCUGAGCUGGCCCUGGCCUUGCCACACAUGUAUGUACUAAGUCGCUAGCCUUUGCCCUCAGGGACCUAACUGGGAUGGGCCGGGCUGCGUGGAAUGCCAGUGUUGACUGGUGCGUGCUCAGUUGUGUCCGACUCCAUGACCCCAUGGACUGUGGCUCACUAGGCUCCUCUGUCCGUGGGAUUAUCCAGUGGGUUGCCAUUUCCUUCUCCAAAUGCCAAGGUUGGAAACCCUUUUUUGCUAGUUAAGUUUAGGUAGCUAUACAUAUUCUUAUCUGAUGUAUUUUAGCAAGGCUCACACAUGUUUAGGCAAAACCCUCCUUUUCUGGGAAAAUUAAGGAGGAAAAUAUCCACUUUUGUCCUCAGACUCUCUGGUUCCUUCCUGCAAGUGAUGCUAUCCUGUCUCUUCUUACUCGGCAUCGUGAAGGUCAGAACUCUGGCUUCUCUGCUGAACCUUCUAUGCUUCCAGCUUGUGGGUUUUAGGAGUUUCUCUGCUGCCUCUGGAGAGAGUGGCCAUCAUCCUGGCCUGUGCUGACCAGGACCGGGAGCUGGAAGAGGCCACCAGCCUCUGUGCUCUCACUUGCCAAAGGGUGGCUGGUAGCUCUGUGAUCCGGCUUCCUCCUGGGACAGUCCCUGAGGAUCCUUGCCACUGAAGGGCCGCAGGCUCCUGGCCACGAAUUCUCAAGGUGUGAUUGCUGGACUCAAGUCCAAGACCCCUUGGUGGUAGAAUUAAGAAGUCAAUGAAGCAGAGUCCGGGUCAGGAAGUGGUUCACUCCUGGGGGGACUCUUCCUGACUCUACAGUCACAGAACCCGGCCAAGAGGGUGGAGGUCUCGAAGGUUCCCCAUUGUCUAGCUUCCCUGAGCCUGGUGGGUUUCCUCUGCUCUCCCAGUGGCGGCUCCGGGGUAAGCUGUUUUCUCCAGUUCUGUUGGUCAUCUUCUGCUGCAGCAGCUGAAGCCGCAGUACGCCAUUCCCCGAGGAGCCCUGGCUCGGGGAGGCAGAGGCAGAAAACACCCAAGUGGCCCCACGCCACUUCCUGAGGAGCCAUCCUGGUGGAAGUGCCAACCGGAUUGGCAGGCAGCGGCCGUCGAGGGAGGCUCUGGAAGAGACUUGAGCUUUCCACUGAGGGCCCGGAGGCGUGUGAACCCUGGAGGCUGGCUGCUCACCUCACCCCAGAGCUCUGUCCCAAGCCCCAGGGCUCCUGUGCUAGGCCAGUGUUUGCUUCUAAAUGAAACGGGGGCAGCUUUUGGCCCCACUCUGCCAGCCAGGCCCGGUGAGAUGAUCUGAACCGGUUUCACUGAGCUGCUCCUGACAGGACAGUGAGGCAGGCCAGAUUCUGCUCUCACUUGUGAGGUUUUCCUCUCUCCUAAGCUAAGGGGUUCCCUGGUGGCUCAGUGGUAAAGAAUCCACCUGCAGUGAAGGAGGUCCAGGUUCAAUCCUUGGGUCAGGAAGAUCCCCUGGAGAAGGGAAUUCCAACCCACUCCAGUAUUCUUGCCUGGAGAAUUGCAUGGACAGAGGAGCCUGGCGAGCUACAGUCCGUGGGGUCGCAGAGUCGGACAUGACUUAGCAACUAAACAACAGUGACAUCAUCCUAAACGAAGCUCACAGCCUCUCUCCCACCUCCAUUAAAUAGACUGUCAGGGCUCCCCAGCCUCAGGCUUUGUGAUGUCCAGCCUCUCUCCCACCUCCGUUAAAUAGACUGUCAGGGCUCCCCAGCCUCAGGCUUUGUGAUGUCCAGGUUCUCUCCCACCUCCAUUAAAUAGACUGUCAGGCCUCCCCAGCCUCAGGCUUUGUGAUGUCCAGGUUCUCUCCCACCUCCAUUAAAUAGACUGUCGGAGCUCCCCAGCCUCAGACUUUGUGAUGUCCAGGUUCCCUCCCACCUCCAUUAAAUAGACUCUCAGGCCUCCCCAGCCUCAGGCUUUGUGAUGUCCAGGUUCCCUGGGACAGGGUGUGGGCUGUCUAGGCAACAUUGUGCUACAGCUUUUUCAUGUCCAGCUCACCACUGCUUCCAACACAAGGCAGGUGACGGGGCAGCUUGCCCCCUCUCCCAGCUUUGCAGGCAUCUUUCCUUUUCAAGAAAUUGUUGAGUCACCCACCUCUGUGUCUGGCAUCUCAAAUUUAACAGCCUUUGUAGGGUAGAGUUUUUUCCUUUCUUCUGCUCCCAACUGGUUGGGCCCAUGGUUACACUUCUUUGCAGCCUCCCUGAAGGGCAGAGCUGUCAGGCGGAGACGAGGAAAGGGAAGGAUGUCUGGGUGCCACUCGAGAGGUACUAGGCAGCUAUGUCUGAUAAGAGGUUUUCCCAGCAAAGCACCUGCUCACCCACAGCAUCUUGGGAGCUGCCUGUGGAGACAGCUGCCAACGGAGCUGGGACUGGAAUCUGCGUGUCUUGGACCCAAGCCUCCAGCCACUCCAUCCACCCUUCAGAGCCUUCCCUUCACAGAGUAUCAAUGUGAGCUCUUAUUUAUAGCUGCCAACUUCUAUCAUUAACUACUAUGCCCAAAGAAUGUCUGGUUUUCUGGUAAUCACAGCUGAAGAACAACCAACUCGUUACUGACCAAGAUGAGGGAAUAAUUCAGUCAUUCGGUUUUCUAAUUGUUCAUUCACUCAUUAAAAUGUACUCUUUGCUAGAACCUGUGCUGCGUCUGAGACAGAGUGGAAUAAAACACAGUCUUGACCUCCAGGAACUUGGGUUCCCGUGAGAGUUCUUGGCUCUGUAAGAUGGUGUGAGUCCAUCAGAGGCCUAGGGCUCCACACAGGUACGUUUGAGUCCUGACUGCGCAGGAAGAGUCCAUUACGUGAACACCACCUUCGCUGGUGCCCAGAGGACGCAAGCAUUGUUUGUUUCCCGUUCUCAUAGCGCCUUCCUUUGAGUUGAGCCCUGGGCCUUCCUCGGCCUUGAGGGAUUCCACUCCCUUGCCUUACUUUCCUCAACCAGAAAUUGAAGAUGGCAAGAGUGUUUCGACCCGGGUGGCUGAGAGGCAGUGAUGUAUCAGAUCUCUCCCCUCUCUACCCAGAGCCCUGGCCAGAUUGUACCUGGUGGUGCUGGCAGCCGGCCCUCUUCCGGCCCCUAUUUCUGCUCACCCUGUUACCAGAGAGCCUGGGGGUCUGGAUCCUAUCCGGCCCCGUCAGGGUAGAUUACCAGAUGAGUGGCUCUUUUGCCCCAGUGCCUUUCCUGUGCUAUAAAUAAGCCCCGU
Molecule: long non-coding RNA, 3747 nt
Organism: Bos taurus (domestic cattle)
Lineage: Eukaryota; Metazoa; Chordata; Mammalia; Artiodactyla; Bovidae
Source: Ensembl